CCAGUUGGCUCAUUUGAUAAUCCAACCAAAAUAAAAAAUUUGCAUAAUAUUAUUCCAAUCAAUUAUUGUAUAUAUUUGUUAGUUCGCUUUCAAUUCAAAUACAUAUAAUUUAAAAAUUCAAUAUUGAUCUCUUAGCAUAACAUCUAAGUCAAAUAAACGUCUUUAUAAUGGAAUACUCACCAAACCCUCCCAACAAAACCAAAACACAUUGCAAAAGAAACCUCAAAAACCUUAACCUCAAAGCACAACCUCUCUUCUUCUCAUCUUCUUACCUUAGAAACUCACAAAGAAAUAAAGCAGCCUACCCGGACCGGCCUACCUCUCAUCCCGGUUAUUUCGUAGAUCUGUCCUGGUUCCUCUGCCCUACCUAGCUCGACGCAAAAACCAAAUGGGACUGAUCCAUCAAUCACACAGAACAAUCACAUAGGUCCUAGGUGUAUUAUUGAAAGAGAAGGAAAGAAAAUUGCUUGUAUAGGAUCAUUGGAUUUUGCAAAUCAGUGACUUUUAUGAAAUUCAUAGAAGCCACUUGCAUAUAAAUUUUGAGAGCGAUGUAAUACUGUAAUAUGCAGGCCAUCAUGCUUUAUGGAUCUUGAGAGUGAUGUAAUUUGUAGGCAAGUGCAAUGAUAUGAACAUGUUUGUUGAUGGUCAUCUAAUCACUAGAACCAUAUUCUAAUAUACUCAAAAUAUAUCGAAAAUGACUUAAUGGUUAGAGGACCAUAAACAAACAUAUUCAUCCCCUGCAAAAAAACCUAAUUCAACUUCUGCAUAAUACAUGGUUUCAGAAAAAAAUAACAAAGAAAAGAAAAUGGUCUUUUAGCAA
Long non-coding RNA from Chenopodium quinoa (quinoa), 820 nucleotides. RefSeq lists it as uncharacterized. The record is from RefSeq and is a predicted model, not a curated record. The transcript has 2 exons. NCBI's taxonomy places the organism in Eukaryota, Viridiplantae, Streptophyta, Magnoliopsida, Caryophyllales, Amaranthaceae.